UUAAGCAUAUCAAUAAGCGGAGGAAGAGAAACUAACAAGGAUUCCCCCAGUAACGGCGAGCGAAGUGGGAACAGCUCGAGCCUGAAAUCCCUGGCAGCUGCUGCCAGAGAAUUGUGGCCGGGAGAGGCAGCGGUGCCCCGACUGUUGCUGUCGAAGUUGACCUGGAAAGGCACGCCAGAGAGGGUGAGAGCCCCGUGCGCGACACCGACGGAAAGGGCCGCUACUGUCUUCGGAGAGUCGGGUUGUUUGGGAAUGCAGCCCAAAGUGGGUGGUAAACUCCAUCUAAAGCUAAAUACUGGCACGAGACCGAUAGCGAACAAGUACCAUGAGGGAAAGGUGAAAAGUACUUUGAAAAGAGAGUCAAAAAGACCGCGAAACCGUUAGGAGGGAAACGAAUGCAGCUGAAGUGGCUCCGUUUCAGGCUCAGGGGAUGCCGGRGGAGUUGUCUCGGUCGUGUCAGCUUCGGCGGCCGGCUGAGGCGGUCCUCAGGUCUACUCUGCAUUCCUGUUGGGAGCYGGCCAACAGCAGUUGCCCNCGGCCCAGAAGGUCGAACGGGAGGUGCCCCGCCGCUUGCGGUGGGAACGUAUAGCCGUCCGUCCGGUGGUCUGGGGGCGACUGAGGAGAGUUGCGAACCUUCGCACGUGCAGCGCAGACUCCUCCGGGAGUCGGUCCGCCUCUGUCCGUUUGGGCACCGCGGCAGGGACUGCGUGCAGUGUCUGCUGACGGCUCGUCUGCUCGGUCGGGGGGUCGGGCACGCCCUGCGCUCUAGUUGUUGGUGCUCGAAUGGCUGCAUCCGACCCGUCUU
This 805-nucleotide ribosomal RNA is filed under the name Placospongia intermedia. RNAcentral's name for it is "eukaryotic LSU rRNA". It matches the Rfam family "Eukaryotic large subunit ribosomal RNA", at positions 34 to 655 of the family's 3401-position model. Lineage: Eukaryota; Metazoa; Porifera; Demospongiae; Clionaida; Placospongiidae. The record is from RNAcentral.